This is a long non-coding RNA of Fukomys damarensis (Damara mole-rat), 714 nucleotides long. RefSeq lists it as uncharacterized. The transcript is spliced from 3 exons. NCBI's taxonomy places the organism in Eukaryota, Metazoa, Chordata, Mammalia, Rodentia, Bathyergidae. The record is from RefSeq and is a predicted model, not a curated record.
UUUAGUGUGUCCAGGGAAGCCACGAGCAAUCACAGUUAUGGCCCCACGAAUGUUCGAAACUGUCUGCCAUCUCAGAUCAUCGUGGUAGUCACACCCCAGAGUCCACAAACAGGAACCGGAAAUCCUGCAACGGACACACCCAGAACCUUCAGCCCUGGUUCCUCAGCCUGUGAAGCUGAGGUCUCCCAGAUCUGAUGGCUGCAGACCAGUGCGGAGCUCAGAUUGCAUCUUCUCCUGCUCCGAGCGGUAAACCUAGUCAAAAUAUCAAGCAAGAAAAUUCCCACUGUAGACGCUGAAUUACUGCGCUGGAAUCACCAGGUGACUGUAAUAAAUUCAUUGUUUUGCAUUGGAAUGAAAGAACCCUGGGGAGAAGGAUCUACGUGAAAUGGAUAUAGAGGAUUUGAAUCUGCUGCAGUGACAGAGAAAGGCAGGAGGGCCGUUGCAAGACUGCCAGCUGGAAAACCAGGAGCUACCACAAGAGGAAAAGCUGUUGCAAAGUCCUGCCCAUGAGAAAAGCUGUGACAGGGUUCCAGCCCACAAAAAGGACUGCUGUGGAGUUCCUACCAGCAGGAAGGACCAUUGCACAACUCCUGCCAUUGUAGAGUUUUGGGAAAUCUGAGAACAUUUGCACCACUGCCUUGGCCAUGUUAUCUCUGCCCCCAGGCCCCUUAAGGUAGUGACAUCUCACACCAACAUCCAAGCAACUACUUUAAA